CAUGAGGUUUGACGGACGAUAUUAUUUUUAUACCGGGUCAGGUUCGGAAGAAAGCAGCCCAUAAACUUAACAUCGGGUUGUCAAAACCUCAUUUUU
RNAcentral lists this signal recognition particle RNA (96 nucleotides) under bacterium. Its description in RNAcentral is "signal recognition particle sRNA small type". It matches the Rfam family "Bacterial small signal recognition particle RNA". Rfam says of the family: The signal recognition particle (SRP) is a universally conserved ribonucleoprotein involved in the co-translational targeting of proteins to membranes. The record is from RNAcentral.